GCAACCAGUCCAAUACUUGGUCUGUUAGAGACCAUCUCAGAAGUAGUAACUUUAUUUCAUGGGGAUACUUACGCACGACGGCAGGGUUUUUAUUUCAAAUACAACACUUUGAAUGACUCCCACCCGGGCUGGACAUAAAUACAUAUUUAGAUUAUCGUUUCACAGUUAAAAUUUUGCACUUGCGACAAUCAAACCAACUUGUGAACUCGGUGAGCUUUGAAAAGAUUCCAAAACAUGACCAAUCGCACAGUAACCACCUACAAGAAUGGAAACAAAACUCGAAAAACAAUUGUCAGCCAAAAGGUUUCAACCAGGGCUACAAAAACGGGCGUCACACAUAGUGUUGAGAAGAAGGUUACCGUUAUAGAAAAAGUAAACAUACCACAGCCAAAGAGGGGAUCCAACAGCUAUCCUUACAUGACUGUGGGUUGUAUUACUUACGGAAGAAAUUAAAGCAAAAAAAUUUCUAAAUUUGAUAAAAUUUUGUAAGGGCCUGAACUAAUAUUUUGUUAACAGUCCACUUUUUUAACAAGAAAAUUCAAUAAAAACGUAUAAUUGAAACAAUGUG
This is a long non-coding RNA of Rhagoletis zephyria (snowberry fruit fly), 568 nucleotides long. RefSeq lists it as uncharacterized. The record is from RefSeq and is a predicted model, not a curated record. Lineage: Eukaryota; Metazoa; Arthropoda; Insecta; Diptera; Tephritidae.